GUGAAUCAUCAAAUUUUUGAACGCAAAUUGCGCUUCUUGGCAUACCGGGAAGUAUGCCUGUUUGAGGGUCAGUAUUAAUAAAAAACUGGGUUAGUUAUAAGUUGUGAAGUCUCCGGAGCUUGGGCUAUCUUAACAUUUUUGGUUAAGAGGCUUAAAAUUUACCUUUUUUGCGCAUUUUUUAAAGUACAUAAAUUUUUUUUCUUCGUCUAUUCUUAAUGCUAUAUUCUUAUUAGAUGUGAUAACAGCGUGUGGCUUCGGGUGAAUAAAAUUUUCAUGAUUUGACGUCAAAUCAG
Molecule: unclassified non-coding RNA, 293 nt
Filed under: Glomeromycetes sp.
Lineage: Eukaryota; Fungi; Glomeromycota; Glomeromycetes
Description: partial contains 5.8S ribosomal RNA and internal transcribed spacer 2
Rfam family: 5.8S ribosomal RNA (bases 1-71)
Source: RNAcentral